RNAcentral lists this transfer RNA (71 nucleotides) under Camelus bactrianus (Bactrian camel). It matches the Rfam family "tRNA". From Rfam's summary of the family: Transfer RNA (tRNA) molecules are approximately 80 nucleotides in length. Their secondary structure includes four short double-helical elements and three loops (D, anti-codon, and T loops). Further hydrogen bonds mediate the characteristic L-shaped molecular structure. tRNAs have two regions of fundamental functional importance: the anti-codon, which is responsible for specific mRNA codon recognition, and the 3' end, to which the tRNAs corresponding amino acid is attached (by aminoacyl-tRNA synthetases). tRNAs cope with the degeneracy of the genetic code in two manners: having more than one tRNA (with a specific anti-codon) for a particular amino acid; and 'wobble' base-pairing, i.e. permitting non-standard base-pairing at the 3rd anti-codon position. RNAcentral also lists the same sequence under 1 other name. Lineage: Eukaryota; Metazoa; Chordata; Mammalia; Artiodactyla; Camelidae. The record is from Rfam by way of RNAcentral.
GUGACUAUGGCUCAGUAGUAGAGCACAUGCUUAGAAUAACGAGGUCCUGGGUUCAAACCCCAGUACCUCCA